Molecule: ribosomal RNA, 553 nt
Filed under: uncultured bacterium
Lineage: Bacteria
Description: bacterial SSU rRNA
Rfam family: Bacterial small subunit ribosomal RNA
Source: RNAcentral
UGCAGUCGAGGGGCAGCAGGUUUGUAGCAAUACAAAUGCUGGCGACCGGCAAACGGGUGCGGAACACGUACAGAACCUUCCUUUAAGUGGGGGAUAGCCCAGGGAAACUUGGAUUAAUACCCCGUAAUAUAUAGAAGUGGCAUCACUUUUAUAUUAUAGCUCAGGCGCUUGAAGAUGGCUGUGCGGCUGAUUAGGUAGUUGGCGGGGUAACGGCCCACCAAGCCUGCGAUCAGUAACUGGUGUGAGAGCACGACCAGUCACACGGGCACUGAGACACGGGCCCGACUCCUACGGGAGGCAGCAGUAAGGAAUAUUGGGCAAUGGACGCAAGUCUGACCCAGCUAUGCCGCGUGGAGGAUGAAGGUCCUCUGGAUUGUAAACUUCUUUUAUCUGGGAAGAAACCUAUUUUUUCUAAAAUAGCUGACGGUACCAGGUGAAUAAGCACCGGCUAACUCCGUGCCAGCAGCCGCGGUAAUACGGAGGGUGCAAGCGUUAUCCGGAUUCACUGGGUUUAAAGGGUGCGUAGGUGGGUUGGUAAGUCAGUGGUGAAAUC